GAUCUCUCCUCCUGAGUUAGCAAUGGCUUCCUCUACCCCUCUCCACUUUGCUUGGAGGCAGAGAAGGGAGGGGUCACCGUGGACGGCGUUGGAUUUGGGCUGCCUGUCAUCUCAUUUCAGGAAGUGUCCUGCUCUCCCCUUGGCCAGCUUUCCCAGAUACUUGUGGGCCUGCAUUCCUUUGGUCCUACCCAGGUCUGUUUUGCAACAUUUUACUCCCAUCCUUAGUUCCCACCUCUGUGGAGGAUGGAGCGCAUCUCCUUAGUGUCUUGUGCUUUCUGCGGCAGAUU
Molecule: long non-coding RNA, 287 nt
Filed under: Dasypus novemcinctus (nine-banded armadillo)
Lineage: Eukaryota; Metazoa; Chordata; Mammalia; Cingulata; Dasypodidae
Description: lncRNA (ENSDNOG00000051881.1)
Source: RNAcentral